RNAcentral lists this ribosomal RNA (446 nucleotides) under uncultured bacterium. RNAcentral describes it as "partial 16S ribosomal RNA". It matches the Rfam family "Bacterial small subunit ribosomal RNA", at positions 338 to 795 of the family's 1533-position model. The record is from RNAcentral.
CCUACGGGUGGCAGCAGUCGAGAAUCAUUCUCAAUGGGGGAAACCCUGAAGGUGCGACGCCGCGUGGGGGAAUGCAGCCCUUCGGAUUGUAAACUUCUGUUAUGUGGGAGUAAAUCAAAAAGCGAGUACCACAUGAGGAAUAGACGGCUAACUCGGUGCCAGUAGCCGCGGUAAUACAGCGGUCUCAAGCGUUGUUCGGAUUCACUGGGCGUAAGGGGUGCGUAGGCUGUUGAGUAAGUCGGGUGUGAAAGGCGCGGGCUCAACCCGCGGACGGCACAUGAUACUGGGAGACUAGAGUAAUGGAGGGGGAAGCGGAAUUCGCGGUGUAGCAGUGAAAUGCGUAGAUAUCGAGAAGAACACUCGUGGCGAAGGCAGGUUCCUGGACAUUAACUGACGCUGAGGCACGAAGGCCAGGGGAGCGAAAGGGAUUAGAUACCCCUGUAGUC